This 1869-nucleotide long non-coding RNA is filed under the name Brassica napus (rape). RNAcentral's name for it is "long non-coding RNA (BNAP_LNC000107)". Lineage: Eukaryota; Viridiplantae; Streptophyta; Magnoliopsida; Brassicales; Brassicaceae. The record is from RNAcentral.
AUAGCCAGAUCAUCAACCAGUUCCUUGAAGAUGUCACCGCGUGAGACGAAGUCCGUCUCACAGUUAACCUCCAAGAGGACACCGAUUCUGCUGUCGUGGAUAUAGGAACCGAUUCUUCCCUCGGCUGUGGCUCUGCUGGCUUUCUUGUCUGCGCUCGCUAGUCCCUUCUUGCGGAGGUACUCUUGAGCUUUCACCAUGUCGCCUUCGCUCUCCAAGAGAGCGUUCUUGCAGUCCAUCAUUCCGGCUCCUGUUUCUUCUCUGAGUUGCUUCACUAAGGCCGGUGAAAUGCCAGCUGCAACAGAGAGAAGUUUCCCAUUAUAUCAUGAAGCAGAGAUCUACAGAAGCUAAAGAUGAGCAAAAGAAAUACCUUUGAUGCCACUUUCCUCAGUAGAAGCUUCUGUGACUACUGCGGCAGGAGUCUCGGCUUCAGCAACAGGUACUUCGGCCACUUUCUCAACGUCUUCACUUGCUACAGCUUCUGGAGAUGAAACUUCAUCAGGUAUAGCUUCAGCAACAGGUACUCCGGCUACCACCUCCUCCUUCUUCUCAACGUCUUCUGUUGCUACAGCUUCUGAAGAUGGAACUUCAUCAGGUACAGUUUCAGCAACAGGUACUUCAGCCACCACUUCCUCCUUCUUCUCAACGUCUUCGCUUACCACAGCCUCUGGAGAUGAAACUUCAUCAGUAGCUGAACUUUGAGGAAUAGAGUUCUCAGAAACUUCCUCUUCACCUGGUAACGAGUAGAAUAAACGGAUCAAUGAUAUUAAACAUUAAAACCAAUUAACUGAUUUAGUACUAGUAAAAAGGCAACUCAACCUACUUUUGGUUUCUGGAACUGGAGGAACAUCUGGCGUUUCCUCAACCUUUUCCACCUCCUCAACUUCAGCUGCUGCAGCAAGUGUUUCCGUUUGCUCUUCUGUCUCCUCUUCAGCUUUGGUCUCUAUCACUUCUUCUUCUUCUACCUUUGGAGUUUCUGAUUUUGCAUCUCUAUCUCCUUUUCCUUCAUCACAAUCUCUUCUGAAACAUCUUCAGGUACAAGGUACUCUACUUGAGGGCACGCAGCCACCUAUGUAACAAGUCAAUUUAUGUUUUAAGUUACAGAAAAUGAAGAAAAUGUUGUUAGCUAGGAUCUUUGGAGUUACUUACCUGCAUAGCCAGAUCAUCAACCAGUUCCUUGAAGAUGUCACCGCGUGAGACAAAGUCUGUCUCGCAGUUAACUUCCAAGAGGACACCGAUUCUGCUGUCGUGGAUAUAGGAACCGAUUCUCCCCUCGGCUGUGGCUCUGCUGGCUUUCUUGUCUGCGCUCGCUAGUCCCUUCUUGCGGAGGUACUCUUGCGCUUUCACCAUAUCUCCCUCGCUCUCCAAGAGAGCGUUCUUGCAGUCCAUCAUUCCGGCUCCUGUUUCUUCUCUGAGCUGCUUCACUAAGGCCGGUGAAAUGCCAGCUGCAACAGAUAGAAGUUUCUCAUUAGAUCAUGAAGCAGAGAUCUAAAGAAGCUAAAGAAAUACCUUUGAUGCCAGUUUCCUCAGAAGAAGCUUCUGUGACUACUGCGGCAGGAGUCUCAGCUUCAGCAACAGGUACUUCGGACACUUUCUCAACGUCUUCAGUUGCUACAGCUUCUGGAGAUGAAACUUCAUCAGGUACAGUUUCAGCCACAGGUACUUCGGCCACCACUUCCUCCUUCUUCUCAACGUCUUCACUUGCUACAGCUUCUGAAGAUGGAACUUCAUCAGGUACAGCUUCAGCAACAGGUACUUCAGCCACCACUUCCUCCUUCUUCUCAACGUCUUCACUUACCACAGCCUCUGGAGAUGAAACUUCAUCAGUGGCUGAACUUUGAGGAAUAGAGUUCUCAGAAACUUCCUCUUCAC